GAUGAACGCUGGCGGCGUGCCUAAUACAUGCAAGUCGAGCGAACAGACGAGGAGCUUGCUCCUCUGACGUUAGCGGCGGACGGGUGAGUAACACGUGGAUAACCUACCUAUAAGACAGGGAUAACUUCGGGAAACCGGAGCUAAUACCGGAUAAUAUAUUGAACCGCAUGGUUCAAUAGUGAAAGACGGUUUUGCUGUCACUUAUAGAUGGAUCCGCGCCGCAUUAGCUAGUUGGUAAGGUAACGGCUUACCAAGGCGACGAUGCGUAGCCGACCUGAGAGGGUGAUCGGCCACACUGGAACUGAGACACGGUCCAGACUCCUACGGGAGGCAGCAGUAGGGAAUCUUCCGCAAUGGGCGAAAGCCUGACGGAGCAACGCCGCGUGAGUGAUGAAGGUCUUCGGAUCGUAAAACUCUGUUAUUAGGGAAGAACAAAUGUGUAAGUAACUAUGCACGUCUUGACGGUACCUAAUCAGAAAGCCACGGCUAACUACGUG
RNAcentral lists this ribosomal RNA (497 nucleotides) under uncultured bacterium. RNAcentral's name for it is "partial 16S ribosomal RNA". It matches the Rfam family "Bacterial small subunit ribosomal RNA", at positions 28 to 507 of the family's 1533-position model. The record is from RNAcentral.